Molecule: long non-coding RNA, 1928 nt
Organism: Pan troglodytes (chimpanzee)
Lineage: Eukaryota; Metazoa; Chordata; Mammalia; Primates; Hominidae
Exons: 2
Source: RefSeq, a predicted model, not a curated record
AUGAAGUCUCGCUCUGUCGCCCGGGCUGGAGUGCAGUGGCGCUAUCUCGGCUCACUGCAACCUCCGCCUCCCGGGUUCAAGCAAUUCUCCUGCCUCAGCCUCCCGAGUAGCUGGGACUACAGGCGCCUGCCACCACGCCCGGCUAACUGUUUGUAUUUUUAGUAGAGACGGGGUUUCACCAAGUUGGCCAGGAUGGUCUCAAUCUCCUGACCUCUUGAUCUGCCCACUUCGGCCUCCCAAAGUGCUGGGAUUACAGGCAUGAGCCACCGCUCCUGGCCCAUAAUCAAUUCUUAAAACCAGAUUUCAAGUUGAAACUUCUCCCUUCACCUGUGUGGGGCCUUCAGCAGCCAGAAAGCCAGGUCCACGUUGUCUUUAUGAGCUGUAACACUCACCGCGAAGGUCUGCAGCUUCACUUCUGAAGCCAGCGAGACCACGAACCCACCAGGAGAAACGAACAACUCCAGACGCACCGCCUUAAGAGCUGUAACACUCACCGGGAAGGUCUGCAGCUUCACUCCUGAAGCCAGCGAGACUAUGAAGCCACCGGAAAGAACGAACAACUCCAGAAACACCACCUUAAGAGCUGUAACGCUCACUGCGAAGGUCUGCAGCUUCACUCCUGAAGCCAGCGAGACUACGAACCCACCGGAAGGAAUGAACAACUCCAGAAACACCACCUUAAGAGCUGUAACGCUCAGCGCGAAGGUCUGCAGCUUCACUCCUGAGCCAGCGAGACCACGAACCCACCAGAAGGAAGAAACUCCGAACACAUCCGAACAUCAGAAGGAACAAACUCCCGACACGCCACUUUUAAGAAUUGUAACACUCACCGUGAGGGUCCGCGGCUUCAUUCUUGAAGUCAGUGGGAUCAAGAACCCACCAGUUCCAGACACAUUACUAGCUCUCUGCCGCCAUUUUACUACCAUGAUUUGUUCCAGGCUCAAAGCGGGAGGAGGAGGAGGGAGAAAGGGAGAAAAGCUCUUAAUUGAUCGUCUCAGAGGGCAGAUUCUUUUUUCCUGGGCUAGGUUGUGAUAUUUAAAGUUACCUCUCUCCCUUGUUUGAAGCUCUCAUGGGGUCUUCAGAGACACCGCCGCCUCCAUGGCUGGGGUUGUUUGUUGAGGUUCCUUUGAUCAGCUCUGUCUCAAAACUCUGCUGCUCCCCGCUCAGGCCUGAGAGUCCCUCUAGGUGGCCCUGUUGGACAGGAGCUAAGCCUCCUCUCAGUCUCUUCCUUUCUCUCUCUCUCUCAACCAACCCAGGCCCAUCUCUUUUUCUAGGAGGGAGUCAAACACCAGUCACCAGCACCGGGCAGGGAUGGGGCGAAGCCCCGCCGACAGAGGGCGGAGGGCUGGGAGGGGCUUUCAGCCGGUCCUGACUUUUUGGUAUGGAGAAUGGCUCCUCCCUGUUCUGGGUGGCUCGGUCACCCUGGAGAGUCCUGCACCAGCUCUAACAUUCCAGGUUUUUUCCUUGGCCGCCAGGAGAGCUGGGCCCGCCCUCCCUUCUGAGCUCCCCUCCGGCUCCUUUCGGCUCCCUGCCCGUGUGGUCCUGCACUCAGGCCCCGUUCAGAAGGUCAGCCUAAACCAGGACCGGAGGGCAACUCCUGCCCUCCAGCUUGGCACCUCAGUCAUGAAGGUGGCAUUUGAGUCCAUCUCCUAUUAUGUUUUCAAUUUGUGCAGGACCUGGAGGGGGAAGAGAGGUGUUAUUUAUUGAGCCCCCUCAGAACUUCAACAUCGUCUUACCUCGAAAGUAGGCAGAGAGUGAUGUCAUGUGGCCACUUUUCGGAUUUCCCCUUUGAAGAUUUCUUAUUUUUUUAUGGCACAUGUCUUUGGCUUGUCAUAUAUAUUUUACCUUGGUGUCUUGGUGAGAGCUUCUUAUGUAAUAUUCUGAAAUGUGUCAUAUGGGAAAUAAAGCUUUUAGAGUUUUCUUGAGAA